UCAGGAUGAACGCUAGCGACAGGCUUAACACAUGCAAGUCGAGGGGCAGCAUGGGAGUGGCGACACUCCCGAUGGCGACCGGCGCACUGGUGAGUAACACGUAUGCGACCUGCCUCCUCAGGGGGAUAACCCAGAGAAAUUUGGCCUAAUACCCCAUAUGCCGCGACGCUGCAUGGCGUCGCGUUGAAAGGUGAGCCGGAAGGAGAUGGGCAUGCGGCGCAUUAGCUAGUUGGCGGGGCAACGGCCCACCAAGGCUACGAUGCGUAGGGUUCUGAGAGGAAGGUCCCCCCACACUGGUACUGAGACACGGACCAGACUCCUACGGGAGGCAGCAGUGAGGAAUAUUGGUCAAUGGGCGGGAGCCUGAACCAGCCAAGUCGCGUGAGGGAAGACGGUCCUGUGGAUUGUAAACCUCUUUAGCCGGGGAGUAACGUGCGCCACGCGUGGUGCAGUGAGAGUACCCGGAGAAUAAGCAUCGGCUAACUCCGUGCCAGCAGCGGC
This 501-nucleotide ribosomal RNA is filed under the name uncultured bacterium. RNAcentral describes it as "bacterial SSU rRNA". It matches the Rfam family "Bacterial small subunit ribosomal RNA", at positions 24 to 518 of the family's 1533-position model. The record is from RNAcentral.